This 430-nucleotide ribosomal RNA is filed under the name uncultured bacterium. Its description in RNAcentral is "partial 16S ribosomal RNA". It matches the Rfam family "Bacterial small subunit ribosomal RNA", at positions 29 to 507 of the family's 1533-position model. The record is from RNAcentral.
GCGAACGCUGGCGGCAGGCUUAACACAUGCAAGUCGCGCGCCCCGCAAGGGGAGCGGCAGACGGGAGAGUAACACGUGGGAACAUACCUUUUGGUUCGGAACAACUGAGGGAAACUUCAGCUAAUACCGGAUAAGCCCUUACGGGGAAAGAUUUAUCGCCGAAAGAUUGGCCCGCGUCUGAUUAGCUAGUUGGUGAGGUAACGGCUCACCAAGGCGACGAUCAGUAGCUGGUCUGAGAGGAUGAUCAGCCUCACUGGGACUGAGACACGGCCCAGACUCCUACGGGAGGCAGCAGUGGGGAAUAUUGGACAAUGGGGGCAACCCUGAUCCAGCCAUGCCGCGUGAGUGAUGAAGGCCUUAGGGUUGUAAAGCUCUUUUGCCCGGGAAGAUAAUGACGGUACCGGGAGAAUAAGCCCCGGCUAACUUCGUG